Molecule: long non-coding RNA, 248 nt
Filed under: Physcomitrium patens
Lineage: Eukaryota; Viridiplantae; Streptophyta; Bryopsida; Funariales; Funariaceae
Description: long non-coding RNA (PPAT_LNC014706)
Source: RNAcentral
CCGACGUUGGACCCCUUUGAAUGAUACUGACUGACCAGUCUCGCUUUUCUCUCCUUCGGUGGGGGCAAAGAAGAGUCUAACUAGCCCUACUAGCCCUAGCCCGAGAACUAGCCCAGCUCUGUAGACUAACUGUAGACUGUAGAGAGUAUGUAGACUGGAGGUGCCGGUGAAGCCGUGUAUGGCGGCUCAGGGUUCCUAUCUAUCUACCUACCUAUCUAUCUUUCCCAGCCCGUCCCAUCCUCCCUCCC